This 301-nucleotide ribosomal RNA is filed under the name uncultured bacterium. RNAcentral's name for it is "partial 16S ribosomal RNA". It matches the Rfam family "Bacterial small subunit ribosomal RNA", at positions 509 to 807 of the family's 1533-position model. The record is from RNAcentral.
CAGCCGCCACGGUAACACAGAGGGUGCAAGCGUUAAUCGGAAUUACUGGGCGUAAAGCGCGCGUAGGUGGUUUGUUAAGUUGGAUGUGAAAUCCCCGGGCUCAACCUGGGAACUGCAUCCAAAACUGGCAAGCUAGAGUAUGGUAGAGGGUGGUGGAAUUUCCUGUGUAGCGGUGAAAUGCGUAGAUAUAGGAAGGAACACCAGUGGCGAAGGCGACCACCUGGACUGAUACUGACACUGAGGUGCGAAAGCGUGGGGAGCAAACAGGAUUAGAUACCCGUGUAGUCCCUGUCUCUUAUAC